Molecule: transfer RNA, 58 nt
Filed under: Canis lupus familiaris (dog)
Lineage: Eukaryota; Metazoa; Chordata; Mammalia; Carnivora; Canidae
Also listed under: 2 other names
Rfam family: tRNA
About the family: Transfer RNA (tRNA) molecules are approximately 80 nucleotides in length. Their secondary structure includes four short double-helical elements and three loops (D, anti-codon, and T loops).
Source: Rfam by way of RNAcentral
UGGCUCAGUCGGUAGAGCAUGUGAAUCUUAAUCUCAGGGUUGUGAGUUCGAGCCCCAC